This 247-nucleotide ribosomal RNA is filed under the name uncultured bacterium. Its description in RNAcentral is "partial 16S ribosomal RNA". It matches the Rfam family "Bacterial small subunit ribosomal RNA", at positions 796 to 1041 of the family's 1533-position model. The record is from RNAcentral.
CACGCUGUAAACGAUGGAUGCUAGCAGUAGGUCGAAUCGACCCGAUCUGUUGCGAAGCUAACGCGUUAAGCAUCCCGCCUGGGGAGUACGAGCGCAAGCUUAAAACCUAAAGGAAUUGACGGGGACCCGCACAAGCGGUGGAGCGUGUUGUUUAAUUCGACGGUAAACGAAGAACCUUACCAAGGCUUGACAUCCCGAGAAUUUUUGGGAAACCAAGAAGUGCUUUAUUGAACUCGGUGACAGGUGU